This 346-nucleotide unclassified non-coding RNA is filed under the name soil metagenome. RNAcentral's name for it is "partial contains 5.8S ribosomal RNA, internal transcribed spacer 2, and large subunit ribosomal RNA". The stretch from base 1 to 121 matches the Rfam family "5.8S ribosomal RNA", at positions 35 to 154 of the family's 154-position model. The record is from RNAcentral.
GAUGAAGAACGUAGCGAAAUGCGAUAAGUAAUGCGAAUUGCAGAAUUCCAGUGAGUCAUCGAAUCUUUGAACGCACAUUGCGCCCUUUGGUAUUCCGAAGGGCAUGCCUGUUCGAGCGUCAUUGCUGCCCUCAAGCACGGCUUGUGUGUUGGGCCUCCGUCCUCCUCCCGGGGGACGGGCCCGAAAGGCAGCGGCGGCACCGCGUCCGGUCCUCGAGCGUAUGGGGCUUCGUCACCCGCUCUUGUAGGCCCGGCCGGCGCUUGCCGACACAUCAAUCUUUUUUCCAGGUUGACCUCGGAUCAGGUAGGGAUACCCGCUGAACUUAAGCAUAUCAAUAAGCGGAGGA